RNAcentral lists this transfer RNA (73 nucleotides) under Heterosigma akashiwo. Its description in RNAcentral is "tRNA-Gly". It matches the Rfam family "tRNA". Rfam says of the family: Transfer RNA (tRNA) molecules are approximately 80 nucleotides in length. Their secondary structure includes four short double-helical elements and three loops (D, anti-codon, and T loops). The record is from RNAcentral. Lineage: Eukaryota; Raphidophyceae; Chattonellales; Chattonellaceae.
GCGAAAGUAACUCAACGGUAGAGUGUAACCUUGCCAAGGUUAAGGUUGAGAGUUCGAAUCUCUUCUUUCGCUU